RNAcentral lists this transfer RNA (85 nucleotides) under Felis catus (domestic cat). It matches the Rfam family "tRNA". Rfam says of the family: Transfer RNA (tRNA) molecules are approximately 80 nucleotides in length. Their secondary structure includes four short double-helical elements and three loops (D, anti-codon, and T loops). The record is from Rfam by way of RNAcentral. Lineage: Eukaryota; Metazoa; Chordata; Mammalia; Carnivora; Felidae.
GCCUGAGUGGCUCAGUCGGUUGAGCAUCUGACUUUGGCUCAGGUCAUGAUCUCACGGUUUGUGAGUUCGAGCCCCACGUUGGGCU